Molecule: ribosomal RNA, 465 nt
Filed under: uncultured bacterium
Lineage: Bacteria
Description: partial 16S ribosomal RNA
Rfam family: Bacterial small subunit ribosomal RNA
Source: RNAcentral
GACGAACGCUGGCGGCGUGCUUAACACAUGCAAGUCGAACGGAAAGGCCCCUUUGGGGGUACUCGAGUGGCGAACGGGUGAGUAACACGUGAGUAACCUGCCCUUGACUUCGGGAUAACUUCAGGAAACUGGGGCUAAUACCGGAUAGGAAUCCUUGCUGCAUGGUGGGGGUUGGACAGCUUCGGCGGUUUUGGAUGGACUCGCGGCUUAUCAGCUUGUUGGUGGGGUAGUGGCUUACCAAGGCUUUGACGGGUAGCCGGCCUGAGAGGGCGACCGGCCACAUUGAGACUGAGAUACGGCCCAGACUCCGACGGGAGGCAGCAGUGGGGAAUAUUGCACAAGGGGCGGAAGCCGGAUGCAGCAACGCCGCGUGCGGGAUGACGGCCUUCGGGUUGUAAACCGCUUUCAGCAGGGGCGAAGCUUGUGGUGACGGUACCUGCAGAAGAAGCACCGGCUAACUACGUG